AGAGUUUGAUCCUGGCUCAAGACGAACGCUGGCGGCACGCUUAACACAUGCAAGUCGAACGAGAGAAGAGGAGCUUGCUUUUCUGAUCUAGUGGCGGACGGGUGAGUAACACGUGAGCAAUCUGCCUUUCAGAGGGGGAUACCGAUUGGAAACGAUCGUUAAUACCGCAUAACAUAAUUGAACCGCAUGAUUUGAUUAUCAAAGAUUUAUCGCUGAAAGAUGAGCUCGCGUCUGAUUAGCUAGUUGGUAAGGUAACGGCUUACCAAGGCGACGAUCAGUAGCCGGACUGAGAGGUUGAUCGGCCACAUUGGGACUGAGACACGGCCCAGACUCCUACGGGAGGCAGCAGUGGGGAAUAUUGCACAAUGGAGGAAACUCUGAUGCAGCGAUGCCGCGUGAGGGAAGAAGGUUUUAGGAUUGUAAACCUCUGUCUUCAGGGACGAAAAAAGACGGUACCUGAGGAGGAAGCUCCGGCUAACUACGUGCCAGCAGCCGCGGUAAUACGUAGGGAGCGAGCGUUGUCCGGAAUUACUGGGUGUAAAGGGAGCGUAGGCGGGAUCGCAAGUCAGAUGUGAAAACUAUGGGCUUAACCCAUAAACUGCAUUUGAAACUGUGGUUCUUGAGUGAAGUAGAGGUAAGCGGAAUUCCUAGUGUAGCGGUGAAAUGCGUAGAUAUUAGGAGGAACAUCAGUGGCGAAGGCGGCUUACUGGGCUUUAACUGACGCUGAGGCUCGAAAGCGUGGGGAGCAAACAGGAUUAGAUACCCUGGUAGUCCACGCCGUAAACGAUGAUUACUAGGUGUGGGGGGACUGACCCCUUCCGUGCCGCAGCAAACGCAAUAAGUAAUCCACCUGGGGAGUACGACCGCAAGGUUGAAACUCAAAGGAAUUGACGGGGGCCCGCACAAGCAGUGGAGUAUGUGGAUUAAUUCGAAGCAACGCGAAGAACCUUACCAGGUCUUGACAUCGUAUGCAUAGCUCAGAGAUGAGUGAAACCUCUUCGGAGACAUAUAGACAGGUGGUGCAUGGUUGUCGUCAGCUCGUGUCGUGAGAUGUUGGGUUAAGUCCCGCAACGAGCGCAACCCUUACUGUUAGUUGCUACGCAAGAGCACUCUAGCAGGACUGCCGUUGACAAAACGGAGGAAGGUGGGGAUGACGUCAAAUCAUCAUGCCCCUUAUGACCUGGGCCUCACACGUACUACAAUGGCUGUCAACAGAGGGAAGCAAAGCCGCGAGGUGGAGCGAACCCCUAAAAGCAGUCUUAGUUCGGAUUGUAGGCUGCAACCCGCCUACAUGAAGUCGGAAUUGCUAGUAAUCGCAGAUCAGCAUGCUGCGGUGAAUAGGUUCCCGGGCCUUGUACACACCGCCCGUCACGCCAUGGGAGUCGGUAACACCCGAAGCCUGUAGUCUAACCGCAAGGAGGACGCAGUCGAAGGUGGGAUUGAUGACUGGGGUGAAGUCGUAACAAGGUA
This 1470-nucleotide ribosomal RNA is filed under the name metagenome. RNAcentral's name for it is "bacterial SSU rRNA". It matches the Rfam family "Bacterial small subunit ribosomal RNA". The record is from RNAcentral.